UACGAGGGGGGCAAGUGUUGUUCGGAAUUACUGGGCGUAAAGGGCUCGUAGGCGGCCAACUAAGUCGGAUGUGAAAACCCAGGGCUCAACCCUGGGCCUGCAUUCGAUACGGGCAGACUAGAGUUCGGUAGGGGAGACUGGAAUUCCUGGUGUAGCGGUGAAAUGCGCAGAUAUCAGGAGGAACACCGGUGGCGAAGGCGGGUCUCUGGGCCGAAACUGACGCUGAGGAGCGAAAGCGUGGGGAGCAAACAGG
Molecule: ribosomal RNA, 253 nt
Filed under: uncultured bacterium
Lineage: Bacteria
Description: partial 16S ribosomal RNA
Rfam family: Bacterial small subunit ribosomal RNA
Source: RNAcentral